RNAcentral lists this ribosomal RNA (400 nucleotides) under uncultured bacterium. RNAcentral describes it as "bacterial SSU rRNA". It matches the Rfam family "Bacterial small subunit ribosomal RNA", at positions 355 to 772 of the family's 1533-position model. The record is from RNAcentral.
UGGGGAAUAUUGGACAAUGGGCGCAAGCCUGAUCCAGCCAUGCCGCGUGAGUGAUGAAGGCCCUAGGGUUGUAAAGCUCUUUCACCGGUGAAGAUAAUGACGGUAACCGGAGAAGAAGCCCCGGCUAACUUCGUGCCAGCAGCCGCGGUAAUACGAAGGGGGCUAGCGUUGUUCGGAUUUACUGGGCGUAAAGCGCACGUAGGCGGGCUAAUAAGUCAGGGGUGAAAUCCCGGGGCUCAACCCCGGAACUGCCUUUGAUACUGUUAGUCUUGAGUAUGGUAGAGGUGAGUGGAAUUCCGAGUGUAGAGGUGAAAUUCGUAGAUAUUCGGAGGAACACCAGUGGCGAAGGCGGCUCACUGGACCAUUACUGACGCUGAGGUGCGAAAGCGUGGGGAGCAAA